Molecule: ribosomal RNA, 478 nt
Filed under: uncultured bacterium
Lineage: Bacteria
Description: partial 16S ribosomal RNA
Rfam family: Bacterial small subunit ribosomal RNA
Source: RNAcentral
GACGAACGCUGGCGGCGUGCUUAACACAUGCAAGUCGAACGAUGAAGAAAAGAAUCGAAGCUUCGGCAGAAAUUCAUUUCGGAUUAGUGGCAGACGGGUGAGUAACGCGUGAGCAACCUACCUCUUACAAAGGGAUAGCCUCGGGAAACCGGGAUUAAUACCAUAUAACAUUGCGACGAAGCAUUUCGAUGCAAUCAAAGCUACGGCGGUAAGAGAUGGGCUCGCGUCCCAUUAACCGGAUGGUGAGGUAACGGCUCACCAUAGUGACGAUGGGUAACCGGCCUGAGAGGGUGAACGGUCACACUGGAACUGAGACACGGUCCAGACUCCUACGGGAGGCAGCAGUGGGGAAUAUUGCACAAUGGAGGGAACUCUGAUGCAGCGACGCCGCGUGAGUGAUGAAGGAAUUCGUUUCGUAAAACUCUGUUCUAUGGGAAGAAAAGGACUGUACCAUAGGAGAAAGCUCCGGCUAAAUACG